AGUGAACGCUGGCGGCAGGCCUAACACAUGCAAGUCGAGCGGCAGCGGGUCCCCGCGAGGGGAUGCCGGCGAGCGGCGGACGGGUGAGGAACACAUCGGAAUCUGCCUGGUUGUGGGGGAUAACGUAGGGAAACUUACGCUAAUACCGCAUGCGACCCUGAGUCGACGGACUGGGGGUGAAAGUGAGGGACCUUCGGGCCGUCACGCGACCAGAUGAGCCGAUGUCGGAUUAGCUAGUUGGCGGGGUAACGGCCCGCCAAGGCGACGAUCCGUAGCUGGUCUGAGAGGAUGAUCAGCCACACUGGGACUGAGACACGGCCCAG
This 323-nucleotide ribosomal RNA is filed under the name uncultured bacterium. Its description in RNAcentral is "bacterial SSU rRNA". It matches the Rfam family "Bacterial small subunit ribosomal RNA", at positions 30 to 334 of the family's 1533-position model. The record is from RNAcentral.